This 368-nucleotide ribosomal RNA is filed under the name Nucula profundorum. RNAcentral's name for it is "partial 16S ribosomal RNA". It matches the Rfam family "Bacterial large subunit ribosomal RNA", at positions 1947 to 2528 of the family's 2925-position model. The record is from RNAcentral. Lineage: Eukaryota; Metazoa; Mollusca; Bivalvia; Nuculida; Nuculidae.
CGUGCUAAGGUAGCAUAAUCAUUUGUCUUUUAAUUGAAGACUAGAAUGAAUGGCUUGACGAGAAUUUAGCUGUCUCUUAUAUUCUACUAUAAAUUAAUUUUUGUGUGAAGAAGCACAAAUUAAUAAAAGGGACGAGAAGACCCUAUUGAGUUUUAAUUCUCAUAUUAGUAGCAUUUUAUAUUUGUAUAUAAACUAUACUAAUAUAAAUUUUAGUUGGGGCAACUGAGGAGCAAAAAAUAAUCUCCUUAUUAUAAACCAAAAUGAUAAUUAGAUGAUCCUUUUAUAAAGAUUAAUAAAUAUAAUUACCAUAGGGAUAACAGCGUAAUCCCCCCUAAGAGUUCUAAUUGAAGGGGGGGGUUGGCACCUCG